This 463-nucleotide ribosomal RNA is filed under the name uncultured bacterium. RNAcentral describes it as "bacterial SSU rRNA". It matches the Rfam family "Bacterial small subunit ribosomal RNA", at positions 28 to 504 of the family's 1533-position model. The record is from RNAcentral.
GACGAACGCUGGCGGCGUGCUUAACACAUGCAAGUCGAACGAUGAAGCCCAGCUUGCUGGGUGGAUUAGUGGCGAACGGGUGAGUAACACGUGGGUGAUCUGCCCUGCACUCUGGGAUAAGCCUGGGAAACUGGGUCUAAUACCGGAUACGACCUUCUGCUGCAUGGCAGGGGGUGGAAAGUUUUUACGGUGCAGGAUGAGCCCGCGGCCUAUCAGCUUGUUGGUGGGGUAAUGGCCUACCAAGGCGACGACGGGUAGCCGGCCUGAGAGGGCGACCGGCCACACUGGGACUGAGACACGGCCCAGACUCCUACGGGAGGCAGCAGUGGGGAAUAUUGCACAAUGGGCGAAAGCCUGAUGCAGCGACGCCGCGUGAGGGAUGACGGCCUUCGGGUUGUAAACCUCUUUCAGCAGGGACGAAGCGCAAGUGACGGUACCUGCAGAAGAAGCACCGGCCAACUAC